AGUGAACGCUGGCGGUAGGCCUAACACAUGCAAGUCGAACGGCAGCACAGUAAGAGCUUGCUCUUACGGGUGGCGAGUGGCGGACGGGUGAGGAAUACAUCGUAAUCUACUUUUUCGUGGGGGAUAACGUAGGGAAACUUACGCUAAUACCGCAUACGACCUACGGGUGAAGGCAGUGGAUCUUCGGACCUUUUGCGAUUGAAUGAGCCGAUGUCGGAUUAGCUAGUUGGCGGGGGAAAGGCCCACCAAGGCGGCGAUCCGUAGCUGGUCUGAGAGGAUGGUCGGCCACACUGGAACUGGGACAGGGUCAAUGGUCCUAAGGGAGGCAGCAGUGGGGAAUAGUGGACAAUGGGGGCAAGCCUGAUCCAGCCGUACCGCGUGGGUGAAGAAGGCCUUCGGGUUGGAAAGCCGUUUUGUUGGGAAAGAAAAGCAGCAGGUUAAUACCCCGCGGUUCUGACGGUACCCAAAGAAUAAGCACCGGCUAACUUCGUG
This 492-nucleotide ribosomal RNA is filed under the name uncultured bacterium. RNAcentral's name for it is "partial 16S ribosomal RNA". It matches the Rfam family "Bacterial small subunit ribosomal RNA", at positions 29 to 507 of the family's 1533-position model. The record is from RNAcentral.